Molecule: ribosomal RNA, 1349 nt
Filed under: uncultured marine eukaryote
Lineage: Eukaryota
Description: SSU rRNA
Rfam family: Eukaryotic small subunit ribosomal RNA
Source: RNAcentral
CGAUACAAGGUAGGCAGCAGGCGCGCAAUUACCCAUUCCCGACACGGGGAGGUAGUGACGAAAAAUAACAAUUCAAGACUCGAAACGAGGCCUUGAAGUUGGAAUGAGUACACUUUAAAACUUUUAACGAGUAUCUAUUGGAGGGCAAGUCUGGUGCCAGCAGCCGCGGUAAUUCCAGCUCCAAUAGCGUAUACUAAAGUUGUUGCGGUUAAAAAGCUCGUAGUUGGAUCUUGGAGUGUGAGUGAAUGGUCGAUCGAAAGAUUGUACUGUUCGGCACACUCUUCUCUUCGGUUGCGUGUGUAGUGCCCUUAACUGAGUGCUGCACUCGACCGGAAUUUUUACCUUGAAAAAAUUAGAGUGUUCAAAGCAGACCUGAUUAUGUCUGAAUAUUCGUGCAUGGAAUAAUAAAAUAAGAACUUGGUUCUAUUUUAUUGGUUUUCGGAACUCGAGUUAAUGAUUAAGAGGGACAGACGGGGGCAUCCGUACUCUGCCGUUAGAGGUGAAAUUCUUGGAUCGGCGGAAGACGCGCAACUGCGAAAGCAUUUGCCAAGAAUGUUUUCUUUAAUCAAGAACGAAAGUCGGAGGUUCGAAGACGAUCAGAUACCGUCCUAGUUUCGACUGUAAACUAUGCCAGCUAACGAUCAGACAGCGUUCUCUACGACUUGUCUGGCAGUUUCCGGGAAACCAAAGCUUUUGGGUUCCGGGGGAAGUAUGGUUGCAAAGCUGAAACUUAAAGGAAUUGACGGAAGGGCACCACCAGGAGUGGAGCCUGCGGCUUAAUUUGACUCAACACGGGGAAACUCACCCGGCCCGGACACAGUGAGGAUUGACAGAUUGAGAGUUCUUUCUUGAUUCUGUGGGUGGUGGUGCAUGGCCGUUCUUAGUUGGUGGAGCGAUUUGUCUGGUUAAUUCCGAUAACGAACGAGACUCUGGCAUGUUAAAUAGUCGCGGGAGUUAUUAUUACUCGCCUUGAUGACUUCUUAGAGGGACAAGUGAUUUUAAUCACACGAGAUUGAACAAUAACAGGUCUGUGAUGCCCUUAGAUGUUCGGGGCCGCACGCGCGCUACAAUGAGUCGAUCAACGAGCGUUCUUUUUUCCAAGUCCGAAAGGUCGAGGUAAUCCGUUGAACCCGACUCGUGCUAGGGAUAGGGAAUUGUAAUUGUUUCCCUUGAACGAGGAAUUCCCAGUAAGCGCAAGUCAUCAGCUUGCGUUGAUUACGUCCCUGCCCUUUGUACACACCGCCCGUCGCUACUACCGAUUGAAUGGUUCAGUGAGAUAAUCGGACAGAAAACUUGGCAACUGGCAACAGUUGACGUGCAUUUUGGAAGACGAUCAAANCUUGUUCCUU